ACACGUAGGGGCCUGACGUUGUUCGGAAUCAUUGGGCGUAAAGGGCGCGCAGGCGGCCGUCCAAGUCCGGUGUUAAAUGGUCGGGCUCAACCCGAUCAUGCGCUGGAAACUGGGCGGCUUGAGUCCCGUAGGGGAUGCCGGAAUUCCAGGUGUAGGGGUGAAAUCUGUAGAUAUCUGGAAGAACACCGAUGGCGAAGGCAGGCAUCUGGCCGGAGACUGACGCUGAGGCGCGAAGGCGCGGGGAGCGAACAGGUUUAGAUACCCUGGUAGUCCGCGCAGUAAACGAUGCGCACCAGGUGUCGGGCGGCAGCGCCCGGUACCGGAGCU
This 327-nucleotide ribosomal RNA is filed under the name uncultured bacterium. RNAcentral describes it as "partial 16S ribosomal RNA". It matches the Rfam family "Bacterial small subunit ribosomal RNA", at positions 523 to 853 of the family's 1533-position model. The record is from RNAcentral.